This 550-nucleotide ribosomal RNA is filed under the name uncultured bacterium. RNAcentral's name for it is "bacterial SSU rRNA". It matches the Rfam family "Bacterial small subunit ribosomal RNA", at positions 1 to 524 of the family's 1533-position model. The record is from RNAcentral.
UAGAGUUUGAUCCUGGCUCAGGACGAACGCUGGCGGCAUGCCUAAUACAUGCAAGUCGAACGAACCAAACUGUUGAUUGAAGCUUGCUUCUUGAUUCAGAUCUUGGUGAGUGGCGGACGGGUGAGUAACACGUGGGUAACCUGCCCAGAAGUGGGGGAUAACAUUUGGAAACAAGUGCUAAUACCGCAUAACAACUUAGAUCACAUGAUCUUUGUUUAAAAGAUGGUUUUGCUAUCUCUUCUGGAUGGACCCGCGGCGUAUUAGCUAGUUGGUGAGGUAAUAGCUCACCAAGGCGAUGAUACGUAGCCGACCUGAGAGGGUAAUCGGCCACAUUGGGACGAGACACGGCCCAAACUCCUACGGGAGGCAGCAGUAGGGAAUCUUCCACAAUGGACGAAAGUCUGAUGGAGCAAUGCCGCGUGAGUGAAGAAGGUUUUCGGAUCGUAAAACUCUGUUGUUGAAGAAGAACAUAUGUGAGAGUAACUGUUCACGUACUGACGGUAUUCAACCAGAAAGCCACGGCUAACUACGUGCCAGCAGCCGCGGUAAU